UCCUACGGGAGGCAGCAGUGGGGAAUAUUGCACAAUGGGCGCAGGCCUGAUGCAGCGACGCCGCGUGGGGGAUGACGGCCUUCGGGUUGUAAACCUCUUUCGCCAGGGACGAAUGUGAGUGACGGUACCUGGAGAAGAAGCACCGGCUAACUACGUGCCAGCAGCCGCGGUAAUACGUAGGGCACGAGUGUUGUCCGGAAUUAUUGGGCGUAAAGAGCUCGUAGGCGGUUUGUUGCGUCGGCCAUGCAAACUGGAGGCUUAACCUUCAGCUUGCGGUCGAUACGGACAGACUUGAGUUCGGUAGGGGAGACUGGAAUUCCUGGUGUAGCGGUGAAAUGCGCAGA
This 344-nucleotide ribosomal RNA is filed under the name uncultured Amycolatopsis sp. Its description in RNAcentral is "bacterial SSU rRNA". It matches the Rfam family "Bacterial small subunit ribosomal RNA", at positions 337 to 694 of the family's 1533-position model. Lineage: Bacteria; Bacillati; Actinomycetota; Actinomycetes; Pseudonocardiales; Pseudonocardiaceae. The record is from RNAcentral.